UACGUAGGGGGCAAGCGUUGUCCGGAAUCAUUGGGCGUAAAGAGCGCGUAGGCGGCCCUGUAAGUCCGCUGUGAAAGUCAAUGGCUCAACCCUUGGAUGCCGGUGGAUACUGCAGGGCUAGAGUCCGGAAGAGGCGAGUGGAAUUCCUGGUGUAGCGGUGAAAUGCGCAGAUAUCAGGAGGAACACCGAUGGCGAAGGCAGCUCGCUGGGACGGUACUGACGCUGAGGCGCGAAAGCGCGGGGAGCAAACAGG
RNAcentral lists this ribosomal RNA (253 nucleotides) under uncultured bacterium. RNAcentral describes it as "partial 16S ribosomal RNA". It matches the Rfam family "Bacterial small subunit ribosomal RNA", at positions 524 to 776 of the family's 1533-position model. The record is from RNAcentral.